GUCGAUAUGCCCGAGUGGUUAAGGAGACAGACUUGUAAUCUGUUGGACUUCGCUCGUGCAAGUUCGAACCUGCUGUCAACG
Molecule: transfer RNA, 81 nt
Filed under: Vitis vinifera (wine grape)
Lineage: Eukaryota; Viridiplantae; Streptophyta; Magnoliopsida; Vitales; Vitaceae
Description: transfer RNA-Thr
Rfam family: tRNA
About the family: Transfer RNA (tRNA) molecules are approximately 80 nucleotides in length. Their secondary structure includes four short double-helical elements and three loops (D, anti-codon, and T loops).
Source: RNAcentral